GAUGAACGCUAGCGGCAGGCCUAACACAUGCAAGUCGAGGGGUAGAGUUAGCUUGCUAACUUGAGACCGGCGCACGGGUGCGUAACGCGUAUGCAAUCUACCUUGUACAGAGGGAUAGCCCAGAGAAAUUUGGAUUAAUACCUCAUAGUAUCUUUACCUGGCAUCGGGUAAUUAUUAAAGUUCCAACGGUACAAGAUGAGCAUGCGUCCCAUUAGUUAGUUGGUAAGGUAACGGCUUACCAAGACAAUGAUGGGUAGGGGUCCUGAGAGGGAGAUCCCCCANACUGGUACUGAGACACGGACCAGACUCCUACGGGAGGCAGCAGUGAGGAAUAUUGGUCAAUGGACGCAAGUCUGAACCAGCCAUGCCGCGUGCAGGAAGACGGUCCUAUGGAUUGUAAACUGCUUUUGUACGGGAAGAAACACCCCCUCGUGAGGGGGCUUGACGGUACCGUAAGAUAAGGAUCGGCUAACUCCGUGCCAGCAGCCACGGUAAUGUGACU
RNAcentral lists this ribosomal RNA (502 nucleotides) under uncultured bacterium. Its description in RNAcentral is "bacterial SSU rRNA". It matches the Rfam family "Bacterial small subunit ribosomal RNA", at positions 28 to 530 of the family's 1533-position model. The record is from RNAcentral.